This 75-nucleotide transfer RNA is filed under the name Butyrivibrio sp. Its description in RNAcentral is "tRNA-Gln". It matches the Rfam family "tRNA". From Rfam's summary of the family: Transfer RNA (tRNA) molecules are approximately 80 nucleotides in length. Their secondary structure includes four short double-helical elements and three loops (D, anti-codon, and T loops). RNAcentral also lists the same sequence under 3 other names. The record is from RNAcentral. Lineage: Bacteria; Bacillati; Bacillota; Clostridia; Lachnospirales; Lachnospiraceae.
UGGGAUAUAGCCAAAUGGUAAGGCACUGGACUCUGACUCCAGCAUUUACAGGUUCGAGCCCUGUUAUCCCAGCUA